GGGACACCCAAUUACAUAGCUCCUGAGGUGCUGAGCAAGAAAGGACACAGUUUCGAGGUGGACGUGUGGUCCAUUGGGUGCAUCAUGUACACCCUGCUAGUUGGUAAGCCACCUUUUGAGACCUCUUGCCUAAAAGAAACCUAUCUCCGCAUCAAGAAGAAUGAAUACAGUAUCCCCAAGCACGUCAACCCCGUGGCUGCCUCCCUCAUCCAGAAGAUGCUACAGACGGACCCCACUGCCCGCCCCACCAUUCACGAGCUGCUCAAG
Octodon degus (degu) is the source of this 267-nucleotide long non-coding RNA. RefSeq lists it as uncharacterized. NCBI's taxonomy places the organism in Eukaryota, Metazoa, Chordata, Mammalia, Rodentia, Octodontidae. The transcript has 3 exons. The record is from RefSeq and is a predicted model, not a curated record.